GAAGGUAUAGCUCAAAGUGGUAGGGUGCAUGCUUAGCAUGUCCGAGGUCCCGGGUUCAAUCCCCAGUACCUCCU
This 74-nucleotide transfer RNA is filed under the name Camelus bactrianus (Bactrian camel). It matches the Rfam family "tRNA". Rfam says of the family: Transfer RNA (tRNA) molecules are approximately 80 nucleotides in length. Their secondary structure includes four short double-helical elements and three loops (D, anti-codon, and T loops). Lineage: Eukaryota; Metazoa; Chordata; Mammalia; Artiodactyla; Camelidae. The record is from Rfam by way of RNAcentral. RNAcentral also lists the same sequence under 1 other name.